GGGGGCGUUCUGGUUUCGACGGAUUGCUAGAAGUGGAGGCUGCAUGCCGCGGAUGAUUCGUUGGCCGCGUUACCAAUUCGGAUCAAACAAACUAAAUGCGAACUCUAACGAGCUUGCCCUCGCCGCUUAAUUGACGGUGACGUUCCUCCAGUGAAGUCUGUGAAUUGGAGGGGCGACUACUUACAGGCUGGCCAAAAGAGCGGGCGACCGGCUCCGAGGCGAGAUCUACAGGCCGCUGGGUGGACGGUAUCCUGGCAGUAGGAGACUGGACAUCGAGAUCAAAUUAUUGCCUGAGCAUGGAGACGCUUUCAUGGAAGGUGGUUCGGACAGGGGUUCAACUCCCCUCGCCUCCACCA
This 356-nucleotide transfer-messenger RNA is filed under the name Verrucomicrobium spinosum. RNAcentral describes it as "Standard tmRNA". It matches the Rfam family "transfer-messenger RNA". Rfam says of the family: Bacterial tmRNA, also known as 10Sa RNA or SsrA, is named for its dual tRNA and mRNA-like properties. Its role is to liberate the mRNA from a stalled ribosome. To accomplish this part of the tmRNA is used as a reading frame that ends in a translation stop signal. Lineage: Bacteria; Pseudomonadati; Verrucomicrobiota; Verrucomicrobiia; Verrucomicrobiales; Verrucomicrobiaceae. RNAcentral also lists the same sequence under 1 other name. The record is from RNAcentral.